This 270-nucleotide long non-coding RNA is filed under the name Amborella trichopoda. RNAcentral's name for it is "long non-coding RNA (ATRI_LNC000428)". The record is from RNAcentral. Lineage: Eukaryota; Viridiplantae; Streptophyta; Magnoliopsida; Amborellales; Amborellaceae.
UUGCAUUGGGUUUUUUGGGCCCUAAACACAUUCUAGGUCACUAGAUAUCCAUAUUUGCCUCAAAUCCAAUGUUCGUAAAAUCGAACCGGAACAGUUAACCGGACAUGGGCCUGGACACGAUUUAACUGGCCUAAUCAAUAAACCGGCCGAUUCAACCGCUCUAAUCGGGCAAGUCCCGGGCGGUCAAAAAAGUGUCGAAAAAAUUUAAAAAACAUACAAAAAAAAAUCUACUAAAAUAUGAAAGGCAUAUAAAGAAUGAUUAAAACAAAA